AUUGAACGCUGGCGGCAUGCUUUACACAUGCAAGUCGGACGAGUGGCGAACGGGUGAGUAACGCAUCGGAACGUACCGAGUAAUGGGGGAUAACUGUCCGAAAGGACAGCUAAUACCGCAUAUUAUUCGAGCGGCCGAUGUCUGAUUAGCUGGUUGGCGGGGUAAAGGCCCACCAAGGCGACGAUCAGUAGCGGGUCUGAGAGGAUGAUCCGCCACACUGGGACUGAGACACGGCCCAGACUCCUACGGGAGGCAGCAGUGGGGAAUUUUGGACAAUGGGCGCAAGCCUGAUCCAGCCAUGCCGCGUGUCUGAAGAAGGCCUUCGGGUUGUAAAGGACUUUUGUCAGGGAAGCGGUACCUGAAGAAUAAGCACCGGCUAACUACGUGCCAGCAGCCGCGGUAAUAC
RNAcentral lists this ribosomal RNA (406 nucleotides) under uncultured bacterium. RNAcentral describes it as "partial 16S ribosomal RNA". It matches the Rfam family "Bacterial small subunit ribosomal RNA", at positions 30 to 526 of the family's 1533-position model. The record is from RNAcentral.